CCUUAGAGUUUGAUCCUGGCUCAGAGCGAACGCUGGCGGCAGGCUUAACACAUGCAAGUCGAGCGGGCGUAGCAAUACGUCAGCGGCAGACGGGUGAGUAACGCGUGGGAACGUACCUUUUGGUUCGGAACAACACAGGGAAACUUGUGCUAAUACCGGAUAAGCCCUUACGGGGAAAGAUUUAUCGCCGAAAGAUCGGCCCGCGUCUGAUUAGCUAGUUGGUGAGGUAACGGCUCACCAAGGCGACGAUCAGUAGCUGGUCUGAGAGGAUGAUCAGCCACAUUGGGACUGAGACACGGCCCAAACUCCUACGGGAGGCAGCAGUGGGGAAUAUUGGACAAUGGGGGCAACCCUGAUCCAGCCAUGCCGCGUGAGUGAUGAAGGCCCUAGGGUUGUAAAGCUCUUUUGUGCGGGAAGAUAAUGACGGUACCGCAAGAAUAAGCCCCGGCUAACUUCGUGCCAGCAGCCGCGGUAAUACGAAGGGGGCUAGCGUUGCUCGGAAUCACUGGGCGUAAAGGGUGCGUAGGCGGAUCUUUAAGUCAGAGGUGAAAGCCUGGAGCUCAACUCCAGAACUGCCUUUGAUACUGGGGAUCUUGAGUUCGGGAGAGGUGAGUGGAACUGCGAGUGUAGAGGUGAAAUUCGUAGAUAUUCGCAAGAACACCAGUGGCGAAGGCGGCUCACUGGCCCGAUACUGACGCUGAGGCACGAAAGCGUGGGGAGCAAACAGGAUUAGAUACCCUGGUAGUCCACGCCGUAAACGAUG
Molecule: ribosomal RNA, 763 nt
Filed under: uncultured bacterium
Lineage: Bacteria
Description: bacterial SSU rRNA
Rfam family: Bacterial small subunit ribosomal RNA
Source: RNAcentral